Molecule: small nucleolar RNA, 125 nt
Organism: Sorex fumeus (smoky shrew)
Lineage: Eukaryota; Metazoa; Chordata; Mammalia; Eulipotyphla; Soricidae
Product: small nucleolar RNA SNORA27
Exons: 1
Source: RefSeq, a predicted model, not a curated record
UGUCCCCUUCUCACUUUGCCAAUUGGGUUUAAGUCUUAAUUUGCUAUUCAAGUGGGGCAAAGGAAGUAUCCUUUUAAAAUUCAAGCAAACUGGGUGCUUGUCUUUUUUUUUUAAUUGAAUCACAG